RNAcentral lists this unclassified non-coding RNA (584 nucleotides) under Hevea brasiliensis (rubber tree). Lineage: Eukaryota; Viridiplantae; Streptophyta; Magnoliopsida; Malpighiales; Euphorbiaceae. The record is from RNAcentral.
GAGUAGAUCCAUAAGAAAAGAGGUUUGACAGACUCAAUUCAAUCCAUUCCCCCCCAAAAAAAAGUUUGGUUUGAUUAAUUCAGCCAGCGUUUCAACAACAGUAAUAGAAAUAUUGUAAAUAUAUGUUAUAUAAAAUUCAAUAAACCAGAAAAAAGAUAAUAGAAAACACAAACCUAGUUGUCCUUUUGAUAUUACAAUAAUAUAUAAUACCUACUGAUUGAAGUCAAACAGGUGUAAUACUUUUGCCUAUUGUUCUAUUGCUUAAUCAUUGGUCCAGAUGAGGAGCACCUUUUAUGCCCUAGCUUAGUGUGUUAAUUUUCUUCCUGGGCUCAGUGGACAAAUCAUGCAUGGCAUGUGCUAUAUCUUUUGUAUGGGUACACAAAGUGCACCUUCUCUGAAAAGUUAUUUUAAUAUUUCAUUCAUUUUUCAAUGUUGAAUUCACAUCUAACAUCAUGAGAUUACCAUUGUAAAAAGAAUGCAAGUAACAAAAUAUUAAAAAUCCUUAAUGAGGGGGAACUACAGAACUUUGCAAUCCUUACUGGGGUGUUUUUCACUUUUGAAGGUAUGCCCUGCAUUUGGAACUC